Molecule: long non-coding RNA, 273 nt
Organism: Hevea brasiliensis (rubber tree)
Lineage: Eukaryota; Viridiplantae; Streptophyta; Magnoliopsida; Malpighiales; Euphorbiaceae
Exons: 2
Source: RefSeq, a predicted model, not a curated record
GUUCUCUUAUGGCUGAAGUCUUUCAUUCAUGAGGAAGUGUUAGAUAUGGAAGAUGAAGAUCAGCAAAGGCAUGCCAAUGUACUGGACAAGGCAGGCUGGGAUAGUUGUAUUUAUGCUCUGGCUCUUGAAAGAGUUCCGGCCUCUUCAAGAAUUCCAUGUGGAAACCCUGUUGUUGUUAAUCGAGUUCGGUGCAGCUUCUAUUCCUGUAUUCAAACUUAAAUUUCAAUCUCUCUCUUGGAAAUGGAAAAACAGAAAUUGUGGGAUAACAGAAAA